RNAcentral lists this long non-coding RNA (502 nucleotides) under Marmota monax (woodchuck). Lineage: Eukaryota; Metazoa; Chordata; Mammalia; Rodentia; Sciuridae. The record is from RNAcentral.
AUUUGGCAGGUGGACCUCACACACUUACCAGAAUUUGGAAGAUUUAAAUAUUUGUAUGUUACAGUUGAUACUUCUUCUGGAUUUUAGAUGGGCUCCCUUCAUGCCAGAGAAAAAAACUAAAGAUACUAUAGCUCAUUGCUUACAAAAUUUUGCCACUGUGGGCGUUCCAAAACAGUUAAAACAGAUAAUGCCCUUGGUUAUACUUCUACCUCUUUUAAACAAUUUUGCUCAUCAUUUGGCAUUACUCAUACAACAGGAAUCCCAUACAAUCCACAGGGACAAGGAAUAGUUGAAAGAGCUCAUCAAACUAUUAAAAUGUACUUAUUAAAGCAAAAAGAGGGAAUUGGAAAUGGGUAUAUAUUCCCCAAAGAUAAACUUAAAAUAGCCGUUUUUACUCUAAACUUUUUAAAUUUGGAUUCAUCAGGGCUUAGUGCUGUGGAAAGGCAUAUGUGUCCAAAAAAUGUACAUAAGCCCAACAUACUUUGGAAGGAUAUUCUAACAG